GGACGAACGCUGGCGGCGCGCCUAACACAUGCAAGUCGAACGAGCGAGAGAGAGCUUGCUUUCUCGAGCGAGUGGCGAACGGGUGAGUAACGCGUGAGGAACCUGCCUCAAAGAGGGGGACAACAGUUGGAAACGACUGCUAAUACCGCAUAAGCCCACGACCCGGCAUCGGGUAGAGGGAAAAGGAGCAAUCCGCUUUGAGAUGGCCUCGCGUCCGAUUAGCUAGUUGGUGAGGUAAUGGCCCACCAAGGCGACGAUCGGUAGCCGGACUGAGAGGUUGAACGGCCACAUUGGGACUGAGACACGGCCCAGACUCCUACGGGAGGCAGCAGUGGGGAAUAUUGCACAAUGGGGGAAACCCUGAUGCAGCGACGCCGCGUGGAGGAAGAAGGUCUUCGGAUUGUAAACUCCUGUUGUUGGGGAAGAUAAUGACGGUACCCAACAAGGAAGUGACGGCUAACUACGUGCCAGCAGCCGCGGUAAAACGUAGGUCACAAGCGUUGUCCGGAAUUACUGGGUGUAAAGGGAGCGCAGGCGGGAAGACAAGUUGGAAGUGAAAUCUAUGGGCUCAACCCAUAAACUGCUUUCAAAACUGUUUUUCUUGAGUAGUGCAGAGGUAGGCGGAAUUCCCGGUGUAGCGGUGGAAUGCGUAGAUAUCGGGAGGAACACCGGUGGCGAAGGCGGCCUACUGGGCACCAACUGACGCUGAGGCUCGAAAGUGUGGGUAGCAAACAGGAUUAGAUACCCUGGUAGUCCACACCGUAAACGAUGAUUACUAGGUGUUGGAGGAUUGACCCCUUCAGUGCCGCAGUUAACACAAUAAGUAAUCCACCUGGGGAGUACGACCGCAAGGUUGAAACUCAAAGGAAUUGACGG
Molecule: ribosomal RNA, 876 nt
Filed under: uncultured bacterium
Lineage: Bacteria
Description: bacterial SSU rRNA
Rfam family: Bacterial small subunit ribosomal RNA
Source: RNAcentral